GCCAGCCUGGUAUAGUGGUUUGAGCAUUGGACUAUGACUCUGGAGUCCAGGGCUCAAAUCCCCACUCUGUCA
This 72-nucleotide transfer RNA is filed under the name Phrynosoma platyrhinos (Desert horned lizard). Its description in RNAcentral is "tRNA-OTHER". Lineage: Eukaryota; Metazoa; Chordata; Lepidosauria; Squamata; Phrynosomatidae. The record is from RNAcentral.